AUUGAACGCUGGCGGCAGGCCUAACACAUGCAAGUCGAGCGGAUGAAGGGAGCUUGCUCCUGGAUUCAGCGGCGGACGGGUGAGUAAUGCCUAGGAAUCUGCCUGGUAGUGGGGGAUAACGUCCGGAAACGGGCGCUAAUACCGCAUACGUCCUGAGGGAGAAAGUGGGGGAUCUUCGGACCUCACGCUAUCAGAUGAGCCUAGGUCGGAUUAGCUAGUUGGUGGGGUAAAGGCCUACCAAGGCGACGAUCCGUAACUGGUCUGAGAGGAUGAUCAGUCAAACUGGAAAUGAGACAAGGUCCCGACUCCUAAGGGAGGCAGCAGUGGGGAAUAUUUGACCAUGGGCGAAAGCCUGAUCCAGCCAUGCCGCGUGUGUGAAGAAGGUCUUCGGAUUGUAAAGCACUUUAAGUUGGGAGGAAGGGCAGUAAGUUAAUACCUUGCUGUUUUGACGUUACCAACAGAAUAAGCACCGGCUAACUUCGUG
This 484-nucleotide ribosomal RNA is filed under the name uncultured bacterium. RNAcentral's name for it is "partial 16S ribosomal RNA". It matches the Rfam family "Bacterial small subunit ribosomal RNA", at positions 30 to 507 of the family's 1533-position model. The record is from RNAcentral.